Molecule: long non-coding RNA, 330 nt
Filed under: Androctonus crassicauda
Lineage: Eukaryota; Metazoa; Arthropoda; Arachnida; Scorpiones; Buthidae
Source: RNAcentral
GGAUCGACGAGCCGGGCCCGGACCCCAUGAUAAAUAUUUUCAAGGGUUGGGAUCCGAGACUCGAACCCGGAUCCUCCAGAGUGGAAACGCUUAGGCCUUCUCCACACGGAGCGUAUUGUCAUGGACGCGGCAUCGUUUGCUUGCAGCGUCACAUGUUUUCAAAUGCAUGUCUGUACACAAUGCAGCAGCAUAGCAUAUUCGUCAUACUUCUCAAGCUUCAUGACGCCGGCCGUACUGUACUGUCGUUCAUUAGCCGUAUGAAGCUAGGCUUAAUUGUGCACUCUAUACAGUUUACAUACAUAAAUAAAAAAAAAUGAUUACUAUAGAUCG